This 421-nucleotide ribosomal RNA is filed under the name uncultured bacterium. Its description in RNAcentral is "partial 16S ribosomal RNA". It matches the Rfam family "Bacterial small subunit ribosomal RNA", at positions 360 to 774 of the family's 1533-position model. The record is from RNAcentral.
AAUUUUGGACAAUGGGGGAAACCCUGAUCCAGCCAUCCCGCGUGUAUGAUGAAGGCCUUCGGGUUGUAAAGUACUUUUGGCAGAGAAGAAAAGGUAUCUCCUAAUACGAGAUACUGCUGACGGUAUCUGCAGAAUAAGCACCGGCUAACUACGUGCCAGCAGCCGCGGUAAUACGUAGGGUGCAAGCGUUAAGCGGAAUUACUGGGCGUAAAGGUGGGGAAGGCGGUCGGAAAAGAAAGAGGGGAAAGCCAGGGGUUAAACCUGGGAAUUGAAUUUUAAAUGGCCAGGUUAGAGUAGGCCAGAGGGGGGUAGAAUUCAAGGGGUAGCGGUGAAAUGCGUAGAAAGUGGAAGGAAAACCAUGGGCGAAGGAGGCCCCUGGGAUAAUACUGACGCUCAGACACGAAAGCGUGGGGAGCAAACA